AGAACGAACGCUGGCGGCAGGCCUAACACAUGCAAGUCGAACGCGAUCUUCGGAUCGAGUGGCGCACGGGUGAGUAACGCGUGGGAAUCUGCCCUGUGGUACGGAAUAACAUCGGGAAACUGGUGCUAAUACCGUAUAUCCCCUGAGGGGGAAAGAUUUAUCGCCAUGGGAGGAGCCCGCGUAGGAUUAGCUAGUUGGUGAGGUAACGGCUCACCAAGGCGACGAUCCUUAGCUGGUCUGAGAGGAUGAUCAGCCACACUGGGACUGAGAUACGGCCCAGACUCCUACGGGAGGCAGCAGUGGGGAAUAUUGGACAAUGGGGGAAACCCUGAUCCAGCCAUGCCGCGUGUGUGAUGAAGGCCUUCGGGUUGUAAAGCACUUUCGCACGUGACGAUGAUGACGGUAACGUGAGAAGAAGCCCGGCUAACUUCGUGCCAGCAGCCGC
This 445-nucleotide ribosomal RNA is filed under the name uncultured bacterium. RNAcentral describes it as "SSU rRNA". It matches the Rfam family "Bacterial small subunit ribosomal RNA", at positions 26 to 518 of the family's 1533-position model. The record is from RNAcentral.